Molecule: ribosomal RNA, 424 nt
Filed under: uncultured bacterium
Lineage: Bacteria
Description: bacterial SSU rRNA
Rfam family: Bacterial small subunit ribosomal RNA
Source: RNAcentral
AACGAACGCUGGCGGCAGGCCUAACACAUGCAAGUCGAACGCCCGUAGCAAUGCGGGAGUGGCAGACGGGUGAGUAACGCGUGGGAACGUGCCCUUCGGUUCGGAAUAACUCAGGGAAACUUGAGCUAAUACCGGAUACGUCCGUAAGGAGAAAGAUUUAUCGCCGAAGGAUCGGCCCGCGUCGGAUUAGCUAGUUGGUGAGGUAACGGCCCACCAAGGCGACGAUCCGUAGCUGGUCUGAGAGGAUGAUCAGCCACACUGGGACUGAGACACGGCCCAGACUCCUACGGGAGGCAGCAGUGGGGAAUAUUGGACAAUGGGCGAAAGCCUGAUCCAGCCAUGCCGCGUGAGUGAAGAAGGCCUUAGGGUUGUAAAGCUCUUUCAGCGGGGAAGAUAAUGACGGUACCCGCAGAAGAAGCCCCGG